This 877-nucleotide long non-coding RNA is filed under the name Homo sapiens (human). Its description in RNAcentral is "HSALNT0405439". Lineage: Eukaryota; Metazoa; Chordata; Mammalia; Primates; Hominidae. The record is from RNAcentral.
UCAAGAUGGAGCAGGGUAUAGAGAAGCCAUUAGGGAUGAUACAGAACACCACCAAAGGAGCUCCUUCUGGGAUUCUCUAUUGGCUGAACUCAGCCAGAAGCUGCCAAGGGAGACCCCCACAACUGGAUGCAGCCCACUGAAGUCAGCUUCCUGGGGUGCGUAGCUGAAGGUAGCAGGGAGCAAAAAGAAUCUGAAGGGGAAGUGAACAAUGUAGAGCGUAUCUGUGCUGAAGACGUAAGGAGAGAGUGGAGGUCAGAAGCUGGCAUGGUCCCUGGUGCAUGUAUCAGCCGCUAAAGUGGAGAGUAUGAACAUAAGCAAGAGGAAGUGAUGAGUAUCCCUUCCAGGAGAACUCUAAGAGGCAGUGAGUGAUUUGCUGGGCUCCCAAGCCCUCUGCUCUGAUGACAGCAAAGCCCCAAAUCAUGGUGCCUCCAUCAGUCGGGACCCCUCAGCAGAGCCAGCUUCACAGCUGGAGUGGAUGAAUCAGAACUUUCCCCAUGGGAGCAUUUAUAAAAAGGGGACACCCAGCGCAGAAGAUGUUUUCCAGGGAGAUCUCGGGGAGCCCAACAAGCCAAGAAGAGCAGAGCAAAGCAUUCCAAGGAAGGACUCUAAGUCUGCAACCGAGCACACACGAGCACAAGGAAAGACCAUGUGAAUACACAGCAAGAACGUGGUGCUCUGCAAGUCAGAAACAGACCCGUCAUCAGACACCAAAUCAGCCAGCACCUUGAUCUAGGAUUUCUGGCCUCCAAAACAGUGAGAAAAUAAAAUUCUGUUGUUUAAGCCAUGCAGCCUGUUGUAUUUCAUUAUGGCAGCCUGAGCAGAAUAAGACAGGUAUAUACAAAUGCAAAUUCUAUUAAGAAAUCUGUAUCUUUUACCC